ACUCCUACGGGAGGCAGCAGUGGGGAAUCUUAGACAAUGGGGGCAACCCUGAUCUAGCCAUGCCGCGUGAGUGAUGAAGGCCCUAGGGUUGUAAAGCUCUUUCAGCUGGGAAGAUAAUGACGGUACCACAGAGAAGCCCCGGCUAACUCCGUUGCCAGCAGCCGCGGUAAUACGGAGGGGGCUAGCGUUGUUCGGAAUUACUGGGCGUAAAGCGCACGUAGGCGGAUUGGAAAGUUAGAGGUGAAAUCCCAGGGCUCAACCUUGGAACUGCCUUUAAAACUCCCAGUCUUGAGUUCGAGAGAGGUGAGUGGAAUUCCGAGUGUAGAGGUGAAAUUCGUAGAUAUUCGGAGGAACACCAGUGGCGAAGGCGGCUCACUGGCUCGAUACUGACGCUGAGGUGCGAAAGCGUGGGGAGCAAAACAGGAUUAGAUACCCUGGUAGGAUAGCG
RNAcentral lists this ribosomal RNA (448 nucleotides) under uncultured bacterium. Its description in RNAcentral is "bacterial SSU rRNA". It matches the Rfam family "Bacterial small subunit ribosomal RNA", at positions 335 to 799 of the family's 1533-position model. The record is from RNAcentral.